CCUUCUGAAGGACUAGCUCUCAUGCUCUGACAGAGCUGUGCACGGUGUGAGAAGAGCAAAGCCAACAGCAGUCCCAUGCAGACGGAGUGUCCGCUAACCACAACAAGGAGUGAAGCUCUCACCCCUCCUUGAAGAUGCUUCUUUAACAGUGAUGGAGACUUCUACAGGAAGCCACAACUCAUCAACAUGAACAAAGGGGGAUGUGAAGACACGGAUUUCCCUGGGAAAGAGAAACAGAAGAGAUCUCCUGGUAAAGUGGAGUGGCUGCAUCAGGGGCCCCGGGCUCCAGCCUCUCAAUAGAAGAACAUUUGCGGUACACAGCACGUGGUGUUGUAUUAGGAGUCGAUGCUUGGCCCAGCAGUGCCCCCCCCAUGACACUUACUACCUCUUUCAUAUUUAUUAUCAUUUCUGCCAUUUCCAUGUGGUUAAACUACAGCUACUGAUAACAGUCUGCAGGCACCAAAAUGCGUCGUGGAACUUGUAAGGUGUGCCCGACAAUGUAUGUGGGUAGAGAAGUACAACUGAGCUUUCUAAAGUGUCAUAACUUCAUCCACCACACCCCCACACCCCUGCCUGUGGCUUGACCUUUCCUGCCGUGAAUGGUGCCCACACUUCACAUGGGUGGGGCCGUCAUCCACUGCUCUCAUCUGCGAAUAAUCAUUAAUGUUUACUCCUUUCUGUAUGAGGAGCCCUGACACCGUGGCUACGGCAACCCUUAUAAGAGAAAUUGGAGCUGGCUUACAGGUGCAGAGGCGUGGACAGGCAGGCAUGGCGGUGGAGAAGGGACUGAGAGUCCCUGGAUCCCAGGGAGAAGCAAGGGAGACAAAGCCCAGCCCCAGUGACACACUUCAUGCAACGAGGCCACACCUCCUGGUGGCCAACCAAGCAUUCAAAUACAUGAACCUAUGGGGCUGUUCUUACUCAAUCUACCACAGUGUCCAAGAUGGCAUUCUUCCUUGUUUCUGGUGAUGUUCUUUAGUGUUUCAGAGCUGCUCUUAACUCCACACAGCUUUACUCUGUUCCGGAAAGCUGCUUACAUGGCACAUGUCUUCAGCCUGUCUCACCAACCUUGGCUGCCCCACUUCAGUGACAGCAAAUGUCCCUCACCUCAGAACCUGCUCCGGGGGGCUUCAUCCUCCUGAAGAAACUGAAGUGGCUCAGAAAUGCAGUGACUUGGAAACACUGAGUUAUUUGGAAAAUCAGCAGCAACCAGGCAGAUACCAGACCGAAAGAUCUGCAUCUCUCUCCACCAUCAAUGACUUUUACACUCCUUGAAUAAUUAAACACAGUAAGCCACAAUCCACCAAAACUCAGAAA
Mesocricetus auratus (golden hamster) is the source of this 1317-nucleotide long non-coding RNA. RefSeq lists it as uncharacterized. The transcript has 4 exons. The record is from RefSeq and is a predicted model, not a curated record. Lineage: Eukaryota; Metazoa; Chordata; Mammalia; Rodentia; Cricetidae.